Erinaceus europaeus (western European hedgehog) is the source of this 348-nucleotide unclassified non-coding RNA. Its record names the gene 7SK. It matches the Rfam family "7SK RNA". From Rfam's summary of the family: 7SK was discovered as an abundant small nuclear RNA in the mid-70s but a possible function has only recently been suggested. Two independent studies have found that 7SK RNA binds the CDK9/cyclin T complex (known as elongation factor P-TEFb). P-TEFb activates transcription by phosphorylating the C-terminal domain of RNA polymerase II. Lineage: Eukaryota; Metazoa; Chordata; Mammalia; Eulipotyphla; Erinaceidae. The record is from Ensembl.
GGAUGUGAGGGCGAUCUGGCUGCGAUAUCUGUCACUCCAAUGAUCACCAGGGUUGAUUCAGCUGAUCUGGCUGGCUAGGAGGGUGUCCCCUUCCUCCCUCACUGCUACAUGUGCGUCCCUCCCAAAGCUCCCUACCGAGCGCGCUCAGUAGAAGAGGAUGGCCUUCCCUGAAUAUAGACAGACCUGGUCUUCUGUCAAGGGUAUAUGAGUAGCUGCGCUCCCCUGCUAGAACCUCCAAACAAGCUAUCAAGAAUAUUGCAGAUGAAGAUUUGGGAUCUCCAUUUUGGAAAAGGGUAGUAGGUAUAUUUUAAUUAUAUUCCAAGGGGCCCAUGACCUUACUAGUUUUUG